GGCCGGCAGCUGGGCGCCAGCUCCGCGGCGCUCGCCUCGUCUCGUGCACCCGCGGCUGCUUGGAGGAAGGGGCACCUGGGUCCAGUUUUCAUGCUGCUGCCAACUCAUCUAGGGCGUUCUCGACUCUCCUGACAUUUUCUUUCUCCAGGUCUGCUUAAGACUCUGCUCUUCCCCAGGACGAGGAGAAAAUGACACCCCCCCCCCCGCCCCCACAGAGUGCCAGAAUCGCUUAAACAGCACUGUGAGAGGGCUGCUUUCCCAUGAAGGUUUCUUGAAGCUUUUGAGUCAUGAGGGAACUUUCCAGUGGAGAUGCAGAUGUUUACUCUGACUGAAAGCUAUACUGCAGCCCUCAUUUCUACAGGUUUCCGGCGGUGUGGACUCUCUGAUGGUAUACAAGAUGUGAUCUCUGACUAAAGCCCUUACAACAGACAUCACAUACAUAUGGUCUCUCUCCAGUGUGGACCCUCUGAUGUGUGUGAAAAUGUGAGGCCUGACUGAAGCCCUUACCACACUGCUGACAAGUAUAGGGCUUCUCUCCUGUGUGAACACGCUGAUGAGCACUGAGCCCAGCACUCCAGCUGAAUUCUUUGCCACACUCCUCACAUUUAAAUGGUUUCUCUCCAGUGUGGAUAAUCUGAUGGACCUGCAGAUUUGACCUCUGGCUGAAGGCCUUACCACAAGUAUCACAUUUAAAUGGCUUCUCUCCGGUGUGGACUCUCUGAUGGGCUUGAAGAUGUGAAGCCUGACUGAAUCGUUUCUGACACGCAUCACAUUUGAAUGGUUUUUCUCCAGUGUGGACACUCUGAUGAGCUUGUAGAUUUGAGGCCUGACUAAAACCUUUACCACACUCCUCACAUUUAUAAGGUUUCUCUCCUGUGUGGACUCUCUGAUGGUUGUGAAGAUUCAAGCUCCAAUUGAAGCGCUUCCCACACACCUCACAUUUAUAUGGUUUUUCUCCAGUGUGGACUCGCUGGUGGGCUUGAAAAUAUGAGCUCUGACUGAAGCCCUUCCCACACACAUUACAUCGAAAUGGUUUCUCUCCUGUGUGAACCCUCUGAUGGCUCUGGAAACUUGAGGCUGAACUAAAACCCUUGCCACACUCUUCACAUUUAUAUGGUUUCUCUCCUGUGUGGACUCUCUGGUGACUGUGAAGGUUAAAGCUCAAACUAAAGCACUUACCACACUCAUCACAUUUGUAUGGUUUUUCUUCGGUGUGGACUCUCUGGUGGGUGUGAAGAUUUGAGCUACAACUAAAGCGUUUGCCACAAUCUCCACAUUUAUAUGGCUUCUCUCCAGUGUGGAUUCUUUCAUGGGCCUGAAGAUGUGAUCUCUGAGUGAAGCCUUUCCCACAUACCUCACAUUUAUAAGGUUUCUCUCCGGUGUGAACUCGGCAAUGAAUAUUCAGGUCUGUGCUGCGACUGAAGCCUUUUCCACAACUGUCACAUCUAUAAGGCUUCUCUCCUGUGUGAAUAGGCAGAUGAGCAUAGAGAUGUGAGGUCUGAUUAAAGCUCUUACCACACUCAAGGCAUGAAUAAGGCUUCUCCCCUGUGUGGACUCUCUGGUGAGUCUGCAGGUUGGAGCUCUGACUAAAGCCCUUCCCGCACUCAUGACACCAAUAGCGCUUCUUCCCUGUGUGGACACUGGCAUCGGCAGAGCUGUAACUUGUGUCCUUCUCCUGGGUCCUGUAUGUCAGGGACUUCUUUCCCACGUGGACCUGCUGAAGUUCAAGACCGGAAACAUUGCUGAAGGCUUUCUCACAUUCUCCACACGGGUGAGUUUUCUGGCCUGUGCAAACUGUACCUGGCUGGGCCAAAGGUGAUGCCUUUAAGUUGUCUUUACCACAGUCACUGUCAGGCGCUUUCUCUCCUUCAUGCACAGGGUCAUCACCAUGGUGUUGUGAAACAUGACUGAAAAUGUCAACACAUGGAGCAAAGAAACAUAAGCUGUUUCUCAUCUGAGUCUGCUGACAGCUUCUCUGCAUGGAAGCUCUCCCACGGGAAGGUGCUCUAUUCCCACUUCCUGAAGAGUCUCCAUCUCAUCUUGAUGCCGACCUCCUGAAAAGACAAAGAGAACAGGGAUUAUGGAGAGCGAGUGACACCAACAAGGUGGCUGAUUAAUAAGAAGCACCAGUACCCUCAGGGACAUAUCGAAGACCUGCAGCAACCAAGAGAACCACCACUCAAGGAAAAGACAUUUUAUGCUGCCUGCUGCACGGUGGGCCCAGCCUGAUCACCUGCUGCCAGCUGAGGUCCUGCUGCUCAAGACUCUGUACAGAACGUGUAACCCUUGCCACGUCUUCGAGGGAUUUCCACUAUUUUCCAGAAAGUUUUGAGUCGUGUAGUCAUAUACAAUAUACUCCCACAGGAUCCUGUUAUCUGAACAAGGAACUUCCCACAGAAAGAGGCAGAGCCCCACAUUCCAGAAUACAUGUAAUGCCCAGUUGGUAGCAGGAGCAGGGUGACUGCGCUGCAGGUGACAAAAGCCUGAACAAACUUCAAUAUCUAGUUGCAUAUUAUCCGGCCACUGCUCCUACGCAAAAUGAAAAGCAAUCUCCAUAGCCCUGGAGUCAGGAAUUGCAUUUCAGGUGAUCCAAGCAAGCUAGAAGGUAUUAAUUGUUCGUACUCUGCUCCUGCUCUCCCUGCUCAUGCUCCCCCAUGAAAUGAGAAACAAGCUCUUCUAGCUUACAAAUAGUGACUCCUGGGGUAUCAAGAUUGCUUCUCACUUUCCACAGGAGCAGAGGGGAGGAGGGCAGAAGCAGGGGGAGCAGCAGCAGAGUAAUAACAAAUCAUAUCUUCUAGUUUGCUUUGAUCACCUGAAUGCAAUUCUUGACUCCAGGGCUAUGGAGAUUGCUUCUCAUUUUGUGCAGGAGCUGGGUUUGCAGGAGAUGGGGGAGCAGCAGCUAAUUGCAUUACAGGUGAUAAAAGCAAACUAGAAGGUAUGAAUUGUUAUUACUCUGUUGCUGCUCCCCCUGCUACUGCUCCCCCUGCUCCUAGUCCUACUGCUGCUCCCCCAGGAGAUACUAAUUGCA
Talpa occidentalis (Iberian mole) is the source of this 3028-nucleotide long non-coding RNA. RefSeq lists it as uncharacterized. The record is from RefSeq and is a predicted model, not a curated record. Lineage: Eukaryota; Metazoa; Chordata; Mammalia; Eulipotyphla; Talpidae. The transcript has 4 exons.